RNAcentral lists this ribosomal RNA (468 nucleotides) under uncultured bacterium. RNAcentral describes it as "partial 16S ribosomal RNA". It matches the Rfam family "Bacterial small subunit ribosomal RNA", at positions 28 to 507 of the family's 1533-position model. The record is from RNAcentral.
GACGAACGCUGGCGGCGUGCUUAACACAUGCAAGUCGAACGGAAAGGCCCUGCUUUUGUGGGGUGCUCGAGUGGCGAACGGGUGGGUAACACGUGAGUAACCUGCCCUUGACUUUGGGAUAACUUCAGGAAACUGGGGCUAAUACCGGAUAGGAGCUCCUGCUGCAUGGUGGGGGUUGGAAAGUUUCGGCGGUUGGGGAUGGACUCGCGGCUUAUCAGCUUGUUGGUGGGGUAGUGGCUUACCAAGGCUUUGACGGGUAGCCGGCCUGAGUGGGUGACCGGCCACAUUGGGACUGAGAUACGGCCCAGACUCCUACGGGAGGCAGCAGUGGGGAAUAUUGCACAAUGGGCGGAAGCCUGAUGCAGCAACGCCGCGUGCGGGAUGACGGCCUUCGGGUUGUAAACCGCUUUCGCCUGUGACGAAGUGUGAGUGACGGUAAUGGGUAAAGAAGCACCGGCUAACUACGUG